ACGAAGUCUUCGGACUUAGUGGCGGACGGGUGAGUAACACGUGGGAACGUACCUUUUGGUUCGGGAUAACGCAGGGAAACUUGCGCUAAUACCGAAUGUGCUCUUCGGAGGAAAGAUUUAUCGCCAUUAGAGCGGCCCGCGUUGGAUUAGGUAGUUGGUGGGGUAAAGGCCCACCAAGCCUACGAUCCAUAGCUGGUCUGAGAGGAUGAUCAGCCACACUGGGACUGAGACACGGCCCAGACUCCUACGGGAGGCAGCAGUGGGGAAUCUUGCGCAAUGGUCGAAAGACUGACGCAGCCAUGCCGCGUGAAUGAUGAAGGUCUUAGGAUUGUAAAAUUCUUUUACCAGGGACGAUAAUGACGGUACCUGGAGAAAAAGCCCCGGCUAACUUCGUGCCAGCAGCCGCGGUAAU
RNAcentral lists this ribosomal RNA (412 nucleotides) under uncultured bacterium. Its description in RNAcentral is "bacterial SSU rRNA". It matches the Rfam family "Bacterial small subunit ribosomal RNA", at positions 66 to 524 of the family's 1533-position model. The record is from RNAcentral.